UCUUAGCUAUUAUCAAUAAGUGCCACAAUAGACAUGGACAUGUACACAUUUCUUUCACAUGUUGAUUUCAUUUCCUUUAGGUGAAUUUCCAGAAUUGGACAAUGGGAUCACAUUGUAGAUCUAUUUUUAGUUUUUUUGAGGAAUUUCCAUUCUGUUCUCCACAAUGGUUGUACUAAUUUGCACUCUUACCAACAGUGAAUAAAAAUUCUCUUUCCCCGAUAUUUUUCCAGCAUUUUUUAUAACAGCUAUUCCAACUAAGAUGAGAUGGUUCAUAUCUCACUGUAGUUUUGAUUUGUAUUUCACUGAUGGCUACAAGUGGGAUUACAUCACAUUAAAAUAUUUCUGCACAGCAAAGGAAGCAGUCAGCUGAGUGCAGAGAAAACCUACAGAAGAGGAGAAAAUAUUCACUACCUAUUCUUCUGACAAGAGGUUAAUACCCAGGAUAUAAAGAAGUGGAAAAGAAAAAAAGAAAAAGAAAAGGAAAAGCAAAGGACCAGUAGAGCUCAUUCCAUAGUGAAAGAAUUGUGUUUGUGAACCUUGAAUUACCUGAAGCAUCUAUUGUAAAGGCUUAUCUUCAGCUGCAGAGACCCGGCAAUUAACACUGAAAUUAACACCUGAAGAAUGUUAAAAGCGGUCUUCCAGACUCACCUUUAGGGACUAGGACCUGAGAGUCUGCUUGCUCUCAUCUACCACCAAGUGUGACUGUGCCAAGUUUUGUACUGGAGAACUAGUCUCCUGGAGGCUCUAUAGGAAGUACAUUUUCUCCUAGUUUCACAAUGCAUGUGACCAUACUAGAGUCCUAGAGAUGUUUAACUUAACUUGGAGUAGUAUUUCCAAACUUAUUACACC
This is a long non-coding RNA of Fukomys damarensis (Damara mole-rat), 849 nucleotides long. RefSeq lists it as uncharacterized. Lineage: Eukaryota; Metazoa; Chordata; Mammalia; Rodentia; Bathyergidae. The transcript has 3 exons. The record is from RefSeq and is a predicted model, not a curated record.